RNAcentral lists this ribosomal RNA (1490 nucleotides) under metagenome. RNAcentral describes it as "bacterial SSU rRNA". It matches the Rfam family "Bacterial small subunit ribosomal RNA". The record is from RNAcentral.
AGAGUUUGAUCCUGGCUCAGAUUGAACGCUGGCGGCAUGCCUUACACAUGCAAGUCGAACGGCAGCACGGGAGCUUGCUCCUGGUGGCGAGUGGCGAACGGGUGAGUAAUAUAUCGGAACGUACCCUAGAGUGGGGGAUAACGUAGCGAAAGUUACGCUAAUACCGCAUACGAUCUACGGAUGAAAGUGGGGGAUCGCAAGACCUCAUGCUCAUGGAGCGGCCGAUAUCUGAUUAGCUAGUUGGUGGGGUAAAAGCUCACCAAGGCGACGAUCAGUAGCUGGUCUGAGAGGACGACCAGCCACACUGGAACUGAGACACGGUCCAGACUCCUACGGGAGGCGGCAGUGGGGAAUUUUGGACAAUGGGCGCAAGCCUGAUCCAGCAAUGCCGCGUGAGUGAAGAAGGCCUUCGGGUUGUAAAGCUCUUUUGUCAGGGAAGAAACGGUUCGGGCUAAUAUCCUGGACUAAUGACGGUACCUGAAGAAUAAGCACCGGCUAACUACGUGCCAGCAGCCGCGGUAAUACGUAGGGUGCAAGCGUUAAUCGGAAUUACUGGGCGUAAAGCGUGCGCAGGCGGUUGUGCAAGACAGAUGUGAAAUCCCCGGGCUCAACCUGGGAAUUGCAUUUGUGACUGCACGGCUAGAGUGUGUCAGAGGGGGGUAGAAUUCCACGUGUAGCAGUGAAAUGCGUAAAGAUGUGGAGGAAUACCGAUGGCGAAGGCAGCCCCCUGGGAUAACACUGACGCUCAUGCACGAAAGCGUGGGGAGCAAACAGGAUUAGAUACCCUGGUAGUCCACGCCCUAAACGAUGUCUACUAGUUGUCGGGUCUUAAUUGACUUGGUAACGCAGCUAACGCGUGAAGUAGACCGCCUGGGGAGUACGGUCGCAAGGUUAAAACUCAAAGGAAUUGACGGGGACCCGCACAAGCGGUGGAUGAUGUGGAUUAAUUCAUGCAACGCGAAAAACCUUACCUACCCUUGACAUGUCCGGAAUCCUUGAGAGAUCAGGGAGUGCUCGAAAGAGAAUCGGAACACAGGUGCUGCAUGGCUGUCGUCAGCUCGUGUCGUGAGAUGUUGGGUUAAGUCCCGCAACGAGCGCAACCCUUGUCAUUAGUUGCUACGAAAGGGCACUCUAAUGAGACUGCCGGUGACAAACCGGAGGAAGGUGGGGAUGACGUCAAGUCCUCAUGGCCCUUAUGGGUAGGGCUUCACACGUCAUACAAUGGUACAUACAGAGGGCCGCCAACCCGCGAGGGGGAGCUAAUCCCAGAAAGUGUAUCGUAGUCCGGAUUGUAGUCUGCAACUCGACUACAUGAAGUUGGAAUCGCUAGUAAUCGCGGAUCAGCAUGUCGCGGUGAAUACGUUCCCGGGUCUUGUACACACCGCCCGUCACACCAUGGGAGCGGGUUUCACCAGAAGUGGGUAGCCUAACCGCAAGGAGGGCGCUCACCACGGUGGGAUUCGUGACUGGGGUGAAGUCGUAACAAGGUA